Long non-coding RNA from Branchiostoma floridae (Florida lancelet), 485 nucleotides. RefSeq lists it as uncharacterized. NCBI's taxonomy places the organism in Eukaryota, Metazoa, Chordata, Leptocardii, Amphioxiformes, Branchiostomatidae. The transcript is spliced from 2 exons. The record is from RefSeq and is a predicted model, not a curated record.
UUGUAGGAUGUGGAAAUAUUCAAUGUGAAUCAAGGAUUCCAACCUCCUUGAUUAUGUCUUGGCCAAAAUAGAAGUUUAACUCCACUCUUUUCAAGGGUGACAUAAUCCAUGUAACUUUACUGUCAUACCCCUCUUCCUAUUUCCUAUUAACAUUAUUAAUUAACGUUACCCUUUCUCAAGUUCUGUUUCCAAGUAGUAAAGGUUAACAUAACAUCAAGCAACAAAACAACUGUAAAUAUCAUUCUGUAUUUAUUGCUGAAAGCAAAAUCAACCAAACCAUCAAACAAGAAAUUAUCAAUCAAACAAUUUGCUCUAAAAAGUUCUCAAACUUUGUUCACCAAUGCCGCUAACUAUAGUACUGGUAAUUACUCUAUCCUAAAACAAUUUAAAUACAGUACAUCGGUCUUGACACAAGUAUUGCUCUUAUGGCUAUUUCAAGAUUCUUUUCUUACCUUAUGUCAAUAAUAGGCAUAAAAUGCUUCAAA